This is a long non-coding RNA of Triticum aestivum (bread wheat), 2036 nucleotides long. RefSeq lists it as uncharacterized. Lineage: Eukaryota; Viridiplantae; Streptophyta; Magnoliopsida; Poales; Poaceae. The record is from RefSeq and is a predicted model, not a curated record. The transcript has 4 exons.
ACAAAAUCCAGAUCACGGCGGAGUCACCCACGCUCCCUCCACUCUCGCCCCCACAGCCGCACAACCGGCGGCCUCGUCUCCCACUGCCUCCGCGGCCUCUCCCUCGCACGCCUCGCCGGCACCUCUGCCUCACCCGCGUCACCGGCGCCUCUCCCUCUUGGGCCGUUGUUGCCUAUUGGUUGGCUCAGUCGUUGUCGCCCCUGAUGUGCCGCGGCGCUGUGACCCGGCCUCACAGGCACGACCAGGGUGACAACAGCUCCCCGACACCGACGACAGCUCAAAGCUCUGUGGCUCGGCGUGCGCCGAGCGACGCGCCGCGGGGGCACCGCCGCCUCAGCUGGAAGCGUGGCCGACCACCCGUCCACGUCCCCAUCGCUACCGCCGGCCAGCCACACGACGUCACGCUCGUCCAGCUCGAAGCACGCGCCGUCGUGGACCGCCUUCGGCUGCUUCAGCAGGCCAAGAAACCAAAACGCCCCCCCACGCCCGGCGACCUCGGCAUCUCCAUCGAUCGUCUCAGCAAGCGCUACCUCGCCCGGCUCCCACAUUGCUGAUGCAAGCCAAGAAAAAGGGAGUGCCAGGAGUAGUACUCUGAAUCCAUCGAUGCAAAUGAUCCAAACAUGUGAAUCAAGUUGUGAAAGGUUAUAAAACAUGCAGAAAACCGAUCGCAUGCUCACCAAUACUCCAGCGAGGCAUCACUACCUGGGUUCCUAGUUCAUUGAAGGGACAAACAUCAAACUCUGGAAGAUAUUUUUGAAAUGAUGAAGUCGACAGCAAGAAGCUCAAGGAGUUUUAAUGGGCCACAUUAAAAUUUGUGAGCUCAUCGGAACAGGGCAGUAACCUUUUCAUCCCCUUGCAUACUAUUUGAGGAAAGAGUUUUUAGAAAACAGUUGAGAACUACUGUAUAUCUCCAUAUGGCAUUGUAGAAUUAAAAAGGUUAUUUACUAAAAAGUGAUUUACAUAAUUUGAGAACCACUGUAACUAAAAAGUGAUUUACGCCCUGUCUGCCAUCUAUAAAAUUUGUGAAAAUGGAAGCUUGCAUUUGAUUUAUUGCUUCCUGCUUUUAAAUAGUAUGUAGUAACAGUUGAGAACAUCCGUAUAAAAAUUAUAGAACAAAACUGGUGAUUUACUAAAAAGUGAUUUACACCCUCUCUCUGCCACCUAAAAUUGUAACAAUGGAAGCGAGACCUGUAAGAUUGGUUUGCCAUCGGAGCAGGAGGUUAUUUGUUGCCUCCAUUUGCCUCUAUAAAAAUUAUGACAAUGGAAGCUAGCAUUUGAUUUAUUGCUUACUGCUUUCAAAGAGUUCUUAGUAAUAGUUGAGAACUGCCGUAUAUCUCCAUAUGGCAUUGUAGAACAAAACUGGUGUUUUACUAAAAAGUGAUUUACACCCUCUCUCUGCCACCUAUAAAAAUUGUGACAAUGGAAGCUUGCAUUUCUCCAUAUCAAGAACGGGAGUAUAGAUUCUAAUCGCAGAUAUUUACCUCUUUUACAGUGAUUCUAAUACCAUUUUAUUCCUUAAAUCUAACAGCUCGAUGCCUCGCUCGUACAUAAGAAGGCCAUGUGCGCAUUGCUGGAGCUAUAAUGAACAGUUGGGGCUACUACUGAGUACAUAAGAACAGUUGUGGCACUCAGAAACAAAGCAGCGGCGGCACUGGUGCCUCCUGCUCCGAUGGCAAACUUUGAAAGAAACAGGCCUCGCCCAGCCGCUCCAAUGGCAAACUGGUAGGAUCCCAAACCGAGACCUGGAAGCAUGGAGAAACAGGCCUCGCCUGUCCCGCUUAGAAACGUUUUGAAAAUUGGUUUGUUGUUGUAUAUGGAAGGGGUGAGAUGGACACACUAUGAUUGGUCGCUUUAUUUUUGGGCAUUGGAGGUGUAAGAUGGAAAGAACGAAAAGAUUGAUUGGCGUUGUACAUCUGUUUUCGAUUGCGAUGCGAUUUGAUUCCUGUUGGGUAUGGACAGUAUUAUUUGGAAAGGAUAAUAUUGUUUGGAAAGGAUGCCAUCGGGUAAUAUUUGAUUCCUGAUGUGUAUGGAAAGUA